Molecule: long non-coding RNA, 314 nt
Filed under: Rhinopithecus bieti (black snub-nosed monkey)
Lineage: Eukaryota; Metazoa; Chordata; Mammalia; Primates; Cercopithecidae
Description: lncRNA (ENSRBIG00000046620.1)
Source: RNAcentral
AUGCUGUGUCCUGUCCAUGCUCUGAGACUGGCCAUUCCCUUAGGCAGCCUCCUGAAAAGUCUGAACAUUGGGUGAAGAGGAAGAGGAGGAGGAAGGUAAACUGCCUCGAAGAGAGAGCUUGAGACCAAAGAGGAAAAGAACCAGAGAUGUUAUCAAUGAGGAUGACCCAGAACCUGAACCAGAGGAUGAAGCAACAAGGAAGGCAAGAGAAAAAGAGAGGAGGAGGAGGCUAAAGAGAGGAGCGUAAGUUAGUUCUGAUAUCCUUUCAAAAGCUCCAGUGCUGAAGAAGAUCACUCCUUUUAGAUACUCUUUGA